AGUCUGGUGCCAGCAGCCGCGGUAAUUCCAGCUCAUUUAGUGUAUAUUAAAGUUGUUGCAGUUAAAAAGCUCGUAGUCGAUCAUCUAGUGCUGGCUGCUUCGGCUUCGGCUGCGGUACGCGAGUGCUAUCUGCUCGAGAACUUUAUCGGUCCUAACUGGUCGAUGAUGCUGAUCGGGCACUUUCCUGAGAAAAAAUUAGAGUGUUCAAAGCAGGCUAAUGCCUUGAAUAUUACAGCUUGGAAUAAUAGAAUAAGACUGAAGUCUCUUUUGUUGGUUAUGAACUUUAGUAAUGGUUAAUAGGAACAGUCGGGGGUAUUAGUAUUUAAUUGUCAGAGGUGAAAUUCUAUGAUUUAUUAAAGACUAACUUAUGCGAAAGCAUUUGCCAAGGAUGUUUUCAAUUGAUCAAGAACGAAAGUUAGGGGAUCAAAGACGAUCAGAUACCGUCCUAGUCUUAACUAUAAACGAUUCCGACUAUGGAUCAGAAGGGUUUUCCAAUCCCUUUUGGCACAUUAUGAGAAAUCAAAGUCUUUGGGUUCUGGGGGAAGUAUGGACACAAGUCUGAAACUUAAAGGAAUUGACGGAAGGGCACACCAGGUGUGGAGCCUGCGGCUUAAUUUGACCCAACACGGGGAAACUUACUAGGGCAAGACUAAGGUUGGAUUGACAGAUUGAGAGCUCUUUCUUGAUUCUUAGGGUGGUGGUGCAUGGCCGUUCUUAGUUGGUGGAGUGAUUUGUCUGGUUAAUUCCGUUAACGAACGAGACCUCAACCUGCUAAACUAGGAGCCGGAUUAAACAUUCGGUUUCCUUCUUAGAGGGACAAAGUGUUCAAGCACUGGGAAGCGAGGCAAUAACAGGUCUGUGAUGCCCCUAGACGUCCUAGGCCGCACGCGCGCUACAAUGACACGUUCAACGAGUUUCUUCCUGGUCCUGACGGAUUCGGGUAAUCUUCAUAGUACGUGUCGUGCUUUGGGAUAGUCCUUCGCAAUUAUAGGACUUAAACUAGGAAUACCUAGUAUAGGUAAGUCAUCAGCUUGCCUAGAUUAUGUCCCUGCCCUUUGUACACACCGCCCGUCGCUCCUACCGAUUUUGAGUGAUUAGGUGAACCUUCUGGAUCAGAGUAGUCUUCAAGGCUGUUCUGAGAAGUUAAGUAAAUCAUUAUCACUUAGAGGAAGGAGAAGUCGUAACAAGGUUUCCGUAGGUGAACCUGCGGAAG
RNAcentral lists this ribosomal RNA (1213 nucleotides) under metagenome. Its description in RNAcentral is "SSU rRNA". It matches the Rfam family "Eukaryotic small subunit ribosomal RNA", at positions 558 to 1823 of the family's 1831-position model. The record is from RNAcentral.